This 253-nucleotide ribosomal RNA is filed under the name uncultured bacterium. Its description in RNAcentral is "partial 16S ribosomal RNA". It matches the Rfam family "Bacterial small subunit ribosomal RNA", at positions 524 to 776 of the family's 1533-position model. The record is from RNAcentral.
GACAGAGGGUGCAAACGUUGUUCGGAAUUACUGGGCGUAAAGCGCGUGUAGGCGGCAGCGCAAGUCGGAUGUGAAAUCCCAUGGCUCAACCAUGGAAGUGCACCCGAAACUGCGUCGCUAGAGUCCUGGAGAGGAAGGUGGAAUGCUUGGUGUAGAGGUGAAAUUCGUAGAUAUUCGCAAGUACACCAGUGGCGAAGGCGGCUCACUGGCCCGGUACUGACGCUGAGGUGCGAAAGCGUGGGGAGCAAACAGG